UUCUAUUCCUCGCGGUGAUGAUAACAACCGCAGACGGAAGAUAUGGCUCCACAGAAUCGGGCGCAAGGAUUUCGUGCCCACUGAAAAUACCCGGCUAUGCGAGGACCACUUUGAUGUUGAAGCAUUUGAGCAAUUAAUCCUACAAAGCUCUGGCCAGAAGAAACUGAAGCCGUAUGCCAUGCCGAGCAUCUUUACUCAUCUGAACUAUAAAACAAGCACUUUCAGUUGACCCA
This is a long non-coding RNA of Rhipicephalus microplus (southern cattle tick), 233 nucleotides long. The record is from RefSeq and is a predicted model, not a curated record. NCBI's taxonomy places the organism in Eukaryota, Metazoa, Arthropoda, Arachnida, Ixodida, Ixodidae.